This 519-nucleotide ribosomal RNA is filed under the name uncultured bacterium. Its description in RNAcentral is "bacterial SSU rRNA". It matches the Rfam family "Bacterial small subunit ribosomal RNA", at positions 383 to 916 of the family's 1533-position model. The record is from RNAcentral.
CUGACGCAGCGAUGCCGCGUGAGUGAGAAGGCCUUCGGGUUGUAAAGCUCUUUUAGUGGGGAAGAUAGUGACGGUACCUACGGAAAAAACUCCGGCUAACUCCGUGCCACCACCCGCGGUAAUACGGAGGGGGCGAGCGUUGUUCGGAAUUACUGGGCGUAAAGGGCGCGUAUGCGGUUUUUUUUGUCACAAGUGAAAUCCCCGGGCUCAACCCGGGAACUGCUUUUGAAACUGUACCACUAUAGACCGGUAGAGGAUGGUGGAAUUCCCCGUGUGGAGGUGAAAUUCGUAUAUAUGGGGAAGAAAACCCCAGGCGAAAGCGGCCUCUGGGGCCGCUACUGACACACUGACACAAAAACGCUAGGGGAGCAAAGGGUAUUAUACCCCGGUAGUCCACUAGCCAAAAACGAUGGAUACUAGGCGCUGUGCGUAUCGACCCGUGCAGUGCUGUAGCUAACGCGUUAAGUAUCCCGCCUGGGGAGUACGUUCGCAAGAAUGAAACUCAUGGAAUUUUGACGG